This 120-nucleotide ribosomal RNA is filed under the name Diaporthe ampelina. Lineage: Eukaryota; Fungi; Ascomycota; Sordariomycetes; Diaporthales; Diaporthaceae. The record is from RNAcentral.
ACAUACGACCAUAAGCACUAGAAAAUUCGGGAUCCCGUCCGCUCUCCCAUAGACAAGCUAGUGACUGCCGGAUCAGUAGUUGGGUCGGUGACGACCAGCGAAUACCUGGUGUUGUAUGUU